Molecule: ribosomal RNA, 253 nt
Filed under: uncultured bacterium
Lineage: Bacteria
Description: partial 16S ribosomal RNA
Rfam family: Bacterial small subunit ribosomal RNA
Source: RNAcentral
UACAGAGGGUGCAAGCGUUGUCCGGAAUUAUUGGGCGUAAAGAGCUCGUAGGCGGUUCGUCGCGUCGGCUGUGAAAACCCGGAGCUCAACUCCGGGCCUGCAGUCGAUACGGGCGGACUCGAGUUCGGCAGGGGAGACUGGAAUUCCUGGUGUAGCGGUGAAAUGCGCAGAUAUCAGGAGGAACACCGGUGGCGAAGGCGGGUCUCUGGGCCGAUACUGACGCUGAGGAGCGAAAGCGUGGGGAGCGAACAGG